ACGAACGCUGGCGGCGUGCCUAAUACAUGCAAGUCGAGCGAACUAAUUAAGAGCUUGCUCUUAUGAGGUUAGCGGCGGACGGGUGAGUAACACGUGGGCAACCUGCCCUGUAGACUGGGAUAACAUCGAGAAAUCGGUGCUAAUACCGGAUAAUUGUUGGAACUGCAUAGUUCUAACUUAAAAGAUGGCUCCGGCUAUCACUAUAGGAUGGGCCCGCGGCGCAUUAGCUAGUUGGUAAGGUAAUGGCUUACCAAGGCGACGAUGCGUAGCCGACCUGAGAGGGUGAUCGGCCACACUGGGACUGAGACACGGCCCAGACUCCUACGGGAGGCAGCAGUAGGGAAUCUUCCGCAAUGGACGAAAGUCUGACGGAGCAACGCCGCGUGAGUGAUGAAGGUUUUCGGAUCGUAAAGCUCUGUUGUUAGGGAAGAACAAGUGCCGUUCGAAUAGGGCGGCACCUUGACGGUACCUAACCAGAAAGCCACGGCUAACUACGUG
Molecule: ribosomal RNA, 498 nt
Filed under: uncultured bacterium
Lineage: Bacteria
Description: bacterial SSU rRNA
Rfam family: Bacterial small subunit ribosomal RNA
Source: RNAcentral